Non-coding RNA from Candidatus Brocadia fulgida, 258 nucleotides. NCBI's taxonomy places the organism in Bacteria, Pseudomonadati, Planctomycetota, Candidatus Brocadiia, Candidatus Brocadiales, Candidatus Brocadiaceae. The record is from Rfam.
AAAGUCCCGUCGUGGUAAAAGCCGGAGCCAUGUAGCUUGGAUGGCAGGAGGUGGUGGAAACGUUGCCUUCUGAAGCCCAUCAACAAAGUCUGCAAUAAGGCAGGCGAGCAAAUAUCCGGGUUGUAACUAACGUGAACGUAGAAGUAGCCUCGUAAAGGUGUAAUUUCACUGGUCGAGCCUCUCACAAAUAGGCGAAGACAGAAUUCUUUUACCUAAACUGGCUAAUAGGGAAAAGAACGGUGGCGGGGUAUCAGCGGC